UGAUAAAGCUCGGCGUAAAGGGUGGUUAGUAGAUACCUUACUAAAGUCGAACAUCUUCAAGGCUGUUAUACGCCCCCGAAAACAGGAAGCCCAACUACGAAAGUGACUUUAAUAUUUAUGAACCCACAAAAGCUAGGGAA
RNAcentral lists this ribosomal RNA (140 nucleotides) under Pleurosicya bilobata (bilobed ghost goby). RNAcentral's name for it is "partial 12S ribosomal RNA". The record is from RNAcentral. Lineage: Eukaryota; Metazoa; Chordata; Actinopteri; Gobiiformes; Gobiidae.